Molecule: ribosomal RNA, 495 nt
Filed under: uncultured bacterium
Lineage: Bacteria
Description: partial 16S ribosomal RNA
Rfam family: Bacterial small subunit ribosomal RNA
Source: RNAcentral
CGAACGCUGGCGGCGUGCCUAAUACAUGCAAAUUGAGCGCUGAAGGUUGGUACUUGUACCAACUGGAUGAGCAGCGAACGGGUGAGUAACGCGUGGGGAAUCUGCCUUUGAGCGGGGGACAACAUUUGGAAACGAAUGCUAAUACCGCAUAAAAACUUUAAACACAAGUUUUAAGUUUGAAAGAUGCAAUUGCAUCACUCAAAGAUGAUCCCGCGUUGUAUUAGCUAGUUGGUGAGGUAAAGGCUCACCAAGGCGAUGAUACAUAGCCGACCUGAGAGGGUGAUCGGCCACAUUGGGACUGAGACACGGCCCAAACUCCUACGGGAGGCAGCAGUAGGGAAUCUUCGGCAAUGGACGAAAGUCUGACCGAGCAACGCCGCGUGAGUGAAGAAGGGUUUCGGAUCGUAAAACUCUGUUGGUAGAGAAGAACGUUGGUGAGAGUGGAAAGCUCAUCAAGUGACGGUAACUACCCAGAAAGGGACGGCUAACUACGUG